GAUGAACGCUAGCUACAGGCUUAACACAUGCAAGUCGAGGGGAAACGACAUCGAAAGCUUGCUUUUGAUGGGCGUCGACCGGCGCACGGGUGAGUAACGCGUAUCCAACCUGCCCACCACUUGGGGAUAACCUUGCGAAAGUCAGACUAAUACCCAAUGACGUCUCUAGAAGACAUCUGAAGGAGAUUAAAGAUUUAUCGGUGAUGGAUGGGGAAGCGUCUGAUUAGCUUGUUGGCGGGGUAACGGCCCACCAAGGCGACGAUCAGUAGGGGUUCUGAGAGGAAGGUCCCCCACAUUGGAACUGAGACACGGUCCAAACUCCUACGGGAGGCAGCAGUGAGGAAUAUUGGUCAAUGGGCGAGAGCCUGAACCAGCCAAGUAGCGUGCAGGAUGACGGCCCUAUGGGUUGUAAACUGCUUUUAUAAGGGAAUAAAGUGAGUCUCGUGAGACUUUAUGCAUGUACCUUAUGAAUAAGGACCGGCUAAUUCCGUGCCAGCCGCCGCAGUAA
This 508-nucleotide ribosomal RNA is filed under the name uncultured bacterium. Its description in RNAcentral is "partial 16S ribosomal RNA". It matches the Rfam family "Bacterial small subunit ribosomal RNA", at positions 28 to 523 of the family's 1533-position model. The record is from RNAcentral.